AUCAAACCAGAGUCUGUAGCACUGUGAUGCAGUGCUUUAGACCGCUGCGCCACUCGGGAGUCAAAAUGCACUUCAUAUUUAUUCUGUAAUACAAAUGUCAAUUUAGCCCUAUCAAUAUAGGCUAAUUGUCACGAGUAUAAAGGGUUCAAAGUGUGUGUGAACGUGUACGAACACGCACACACACACAAACAGAGAGCCCGAAGGAACAAUAAGGCACCAGGCUGGGAGGAGCCCGUGUGUUGACAGGUGAGGGAUAGAGCGGUGUGGUCUGGGACACGGAGCCGAGAGAUGGGGAUGUUCUGCUCCUAAAGCAUGGCCUUGGCCUUCACACACAGCCAGGGGGCACUGCCAUGCCAGCUGCAACACACUGUGUCCUGCUUAUUACCCUCCGCUCUGUGUUUACGCAUACACACGGCUGUUACAUGCACUAAACACAGGCUGCAAACCAACCCAAAGACCGCGGGUCACAGUUAACGAGAACCACACUCGUGCUUGGACUUUAAUGAACUAGCUAAACAAUAUGUUCUGAUAUACACCACUCUCUCUCUGUGUCUGUGUGUGUGUCUCUCUCUCUCUCUCUCUCAAUCCCCCACAAGAUGAGAGGAUUUGAGGGACAGGGAUAGCAAGCUUUGGGACAAAGCCCUGCAUAGAUUGGUAUGAAUGGUGUAUGUGUAUGCGUGUGUGUUUUUGUUUCUCUGCUCCAGUGGGUGUGUGUGCGUGUGUGUUUUUGUUUCUCUGCUCCAGUGGGUGUGUGUGCGUGUGUGCGUGCGUGUUUUUGUUUCUCUGCUCCAGUGGGUGUGUGUGGAGAGUACAAUCAGUAAGCCACAGCUUGGAUGACAUGGUUCAUUAAACCUCUAAUGAAGGGCACCGACCGCUGGCAUCCAGCAUGUGAGGGCAUACCUGUGCCACCGCAGGAGGGGGUGCCAAGAACAGUACCCCCCCUGAUGCACAGGAAACAGGGACGAAGCAUGUCACCCUAAAGCCCUUCCUCAUUGUCCAAAGCAACAGGCAUUUUGGAGCUUGCUUUGAUUGAGUCAAGACCCAGCUCAAAUCUCCUUUUAAGGAAGACAGAAGAGCCAAAAAGGCAGGAUAGUGUUUAUGUUUUGGGGCUGAAAAACGGUGCAGGAAAGUUCCCAGAUCCAGAGUCCCUGGAGAGAUUGAUGACCACUGUGUUUUCUCUGAUACAUGGCAUAGAGGACUGACUGCAUGAAACAGCACUAGACAAUCCUUCAAACACAAACAGGGUCUAUGUGGGUUAGGAAGCAUGCUCACACUGGAGCUGCAGCUAUGAGACAAGCUAUCCAAACCUGCUUGACUGGAAGCCAGAAACGCUGAUGGAGAACAAACUGCAUCUGGCAAAAUGAAUUCUCAAUAAGAAACCAGUAAGCAAUGUUGUUGAUGAUUCUUUUCUCAGGAGACUUUCCAAGAACACUGAUUCGUUCUCGUGAGAGAGAAAAAGAACAUCAACAGCAACAGUCAUUUCAGCAUGUAAAUAAGCAACAGAAUAUAGCCAGCCGUUCAUGGACAUUCUCCUGAGAAACCAACAACCACCACGACGUUGUGCCUUUCAACUGUGGCUGCUCAUGACUUUCAUGAGUGAUAAUCAGCCUACAUUUGUCCUUUCAGAACGACCCGGUGUAACCUAAUUAGCAGACAAGACUGUGAAGAGGCACAACUCCUCAGGGGUUUCAGAUGGUUUAGGUCCUCCAGCAGCAGGCUUCUUCCUAGAGAGGGAGGAAGAGAACCAGUCCUGAUAACAUCAAACCCAGUGGUACUAACCUAUAUAUGCCAGGUGAGGGGGUUGGCCCAUCCAUGCCUCCUCUUCCACAAUAGAAGGAUAAACAGACCCCAUAACAGUGAUGCCACUCCCCCCCCCCCCCCAGGCAGCUACAUCCCUCUCUCUCCCCCUCUCUAUUCUCUACUCUCCGCCCAUCUGAUUUUCCUCCCAUAAACUAGAUGACAUAGCGUAGAGAGCUGCCAGAGAACCUUCUCGCCUGUUGGACUCACAGCCUUUCUCCCAGCCUCCUCGCCAGACUGUCUGUGACCUCCAGAGCAGAAUCUACCCAUCCAUCUAUUCAUUAAUCCAUCCACCCCUCUGGAGCAGACCUAUGUAGCUGAACCAACAACCACCACAGCACAGCGAGGGCUAAGCAGGGGGGGUGUAACGAUCCAUCAAACCAUCUCCAUCACUGGUCUUCCUGAGGACACCUCCAGAAUUACCCUCUUAACUGAAGAGCUUUGCCCAGAAUUGAUCACUCUGCCUGGGGCAUUUGCAGCCUCAACCCAGCCUCUCCAUGUCGAGUGAAACCAUGGACCUGGUCAACAACCGCGGCCUCAACCUGAUGCUCAACUUCCUCCUCAUCGUCAUCAUGCUGCUCCUCAUGCUUGUCCUGGUCAAACUCAUGUAACCUCUGACAUACAGUAUGACCUCAUGGCAUAGGUUGAGCAAUUCCAGUCCCCAAGGGCCACAGGGUCUGAUGGGAGUCCCUCUACCUCUGAUUUGAUCAUAUAAAUACACAAUGGCUUCAACUAAUUAUUAUUCAACAGUUCACAUCAAAAAUCACUGAAUAAAGGCCAUUGAACCUGUUGGGAGUAGAACUAAACAUUGUGAGCUUUUGGAGAGUAGAAAAGAAUUUGGGAUUCCAUGAGAUCGUUACAUGGGAUGGCAAGAUUCAAAAUAUCAAUUAACAGGAGGAUGAAACUCCACCCACAGAUGGUAAAGAAAUGAAAUAACAUUGACAUGGCAUGAUCAAUAGAACGCCCUCCUUUACAUUUAGUUUACCUCCCUCUAGUGGUAGAAUCACCAAACUGCACCACCAUCUACUUCUGGCCAGGGCACUGAGCACAGAGAUAAACCCAUGCUCUCUGUUCCUCAUUCUAGAGUUGUGGUUGAUAUGAGCCAUAGAGAACAAUCAUUUUCAAAGCUUUAACGCUCACAGUCACCGACUAUUCUAAGCUAUUAGGACCAAAGCACAUGUUACAAAUGACAACUGAAAUGUAACUGAAAACGGUUAAAGCCAGACACCGACCGUCCUUUUCCGUGUGUUAUGAGUUGUUUGUGUAACUGUUGAGUGAAGCCUAGGCUCCUUCCCUUUGGAGACUCAGGUUGCUCUUGAACUAGUAGCUGAUAAGUACAACAGAUACUUGGCUGAAUAAACAUGGGUACGUAACAGCCUAAGCGUGUAAACCUUUCAGUGAAAUAUGUAAUAUUGUUACUACAAUAUCCGAACAUAACUGUGUGCUGUAGUGAUAAUGUUUUCGUGUUCAGUAGUAGUAGUUGGUUUGUUUUGGCAGAGUAAUGAACAGAGUAAAUAGAGCAAACACCUCCAGCUAAACACAGGGAUGCUCUCUGCAGUGUGAAGAAACAUGCAUGACCACUGCAGAACUGUUGUAGUGUUGACUGUCUGCAGGCGCUGGCUCCACUUUACACUUUCUUAUGUCGCACAACAGCAUUUUCUAAAGAAUGUUAUAAAAUAAAGAUAAAAUACACAAACUAUAAA
RNA transcript from Oncorhynchus nerka (sockeye salmon), 3500 nucleotides. It is a transcript of the gene named phospholamban 1, with no coding region annotated. Lineage: Eukaryota; Metazoa; Chordata; Actinopteri; Salmoniformes; Salmonidae. The transcript has 2 exons. The record is from RefSeq and is a predicted model, not a curated record.